This 256-nucleotide ribosomal RNA is filed under the name uncultured soil bacterium. Its description in RNAcentral is "partial 16S ribosomal RNA". It matches the Rfam family "Bacterial small subunit ribosomal RNA", at positions 26 to 285 of the family's 1533-position model. The record is from RNAcentral.
AGGACGAACGCUGGCGGCGUGCUUAACACAUGCAAGUCGAGCGGAAAGGCCCUUCGGGGUACUCGAGCGGCGAACGGGUGAGUAACACGUGGGUAAUCUGCCCAUCGCUUCAGGAUAGCCAUCGGAAACGGUGAUUAAUACUGGAUAUGACAUUCCUUCGCAUGGUUGGGGUGUGGUAAAGUUUUUUCGGCGGUGGAUGUGCUCGCGGCCUAUCAGCUUGUUGGUGGGUAAUGGCCUACCAAGGCUUUGACGGGUA